UGUAUGCAUAUGUAUAUAUAAAUCCAACGGGGAUGAUGGGGAUCGACUCGGACAAUACGCGAAUUUAAACCUGAUCAAACUAUAAAAAAGUUUAUUAAAACGUUUGGACUGUAAAAUAUUCCACUGAUAUUUCGGGGACGCAGUGAUAUAUUUCGUAACAUGUUUUAACUAUAUUAACGGAUUUAAUAGAUUACUUUCGGUACACAUCGCAUGACUAUUUG
Molecule: non-coding RNA, 221 nt
Organism: Cinara cedri
Lineage: Eukaryota; Metazoa; Arthropoda; Insecta; Hemiptera; Aphididae
Source: the annotation of a GenBank genome assembly